RNAcentral lists this ribosomal RNA (406 nucleotides) under uncultured bacterium. Its description in RNAcentral is "partial 16S ribosomal RNA". It matches the Rfam family "Bacterial small subunit ribosomal RNA", at positions 30 to 526 of the family's 1533-position model. The record is from RNAcentral.
AUUGAACGCUGGCGGCAGGCCUAACACAUGCAAGUCGAGCGAGCGGCGGACGGGUGAGUAAUGUCUGGGAAAAUGCCUGAUGGAGGGGGAUAACUACUGGAAACGGUAGCUAAUACCGCAUACCAUCUGAUGUGCCCAGAUGGGAUUAUCUAGUAGGUGGGGUAAUGGCGCACCUAGGGGACGAUCCCUAUCUGGUCUGAGAGGAUGACCAGCCAAACUGGAACUGAGCAACGGUCCGGACUCCUACGGAAGGCAGCAGUUGGAAAUAUUGCACCAUGGGCGCAAGCCUGAUGCAGCCAUGCAGGGUGUGGGAAGGAAGCCUUCGGGUUGUAAAGCACUUUCAGCGGGGAGGCGUUACCCGCAGAAGAAGCACCGGCUAACUCCGUGCCAGCAGCCGCGGUAAUUC